UGCAACUGAUGGAUGAAUGAAAGACCAGAAAUGUAGCUACUGUCCAACACAUAAUGAACGCUGAAUGACUCUGCUGAUCUCAUAAGCCAACAUAUCCAACAGUUUUUGAAGAUACUUGCCAAGACGAUUCAUUUCGGUGUUCAAGGGCUGUGAGACACGGCUCUCUAUGUGUGCACAGAAGACAACGCGCAG
This is a long non-coding RNA of Cyprinus carpio (common carp), 192 nucleotides long. RefSeq lists it as uncharacterized. The transcript is spliced from 2 exons. The record is from RefSeq and is a predicted model, not a curated record. NCBI's taxonomy places the organism in Eukaryota, Metazoa, Chordata, Actinopteri, Cypriniformes, Cyprinidae.